GCCCGUUGGACCGACGAUCUACGUAAGGUUGCCGGUGUAGGCUGGAUGAGGAUAGCGGAAGACCGGGAUAUCUGGCGCGAACUUGGGGAGGCCUAUGUCCAGCAGUGCACUGCGAUAGGCCGAACUGUAUAAUAAAUCUUCUACAACAGCGUUUUGCCCAGUCCACUCUCCAGGCCAUAGGCGAUUUUUUUUUCUUUUGCAACUAUAAUCGAUCUUUAAAUUUAUCAGCAACAAUAUUAAGACGUUGGUGUGGUAGCCUACGAUCAGCAGUUACGUCAAUGAUAUUAUGAUCUUGUAUUACCUCAUCUAAUCGAGCUUGUAUACACGGAAUGUUAGACUUUUUUCCACUAAGCAACCUAAUAGGUGAAAAGCCGGUCGAUUGCUGUACAGUAGUGUUUAAGGAAAGUUAUACUUUCCACAACCCACAGAACGCUCGGCCAGUCUGACACAUUGGUACAAGAAGCGCUUAUCAUAUUUGUUAUUGUAGCUACGUACCGUUCGACUUGGCCAUUCCCCCGGGGAGUACCAGUCGCUACCAUAUGAUGCCUAGUUUGCCAUUCAUCAAAUAACUGUCGCAAUUAUCUUUAACAUAAUUGUGUUUGCAGACAAACGAAAAAAAAAAGACUUCAGUUAUAUUGACAAGUAAUACAACGUAGGUAGAUGAAAAAAAUAGUCAAGUAAAUACGCAUUAUCAAAGAUUACUCCGAAAGUGGUUAUCAGAUUUCGAUAAAAUUUAAAUGUGACCACAUGAUAAAUAUCAGCUUUCGAUUAAAUUAAUAAUUAUCAAAAUCGGUACACCCAGUAAAAAGUUAUGUGGAUUUUUGAGUUUCCCUCGAUUUCUCUGAGAUUCCAUCAUCAGAUCCUGGUUACCUUAUUUUGGUACUAAACUAGGGAUAUCUCCUUUCCAACAAAAAAAAAGAAUUAUUAAAAUCAGUAUAUACAGUAGAAAGUUAUACGGUAUAAUACAACGUAGAUCGACGAAAAAAAAAAAAAAGCGUCAAGUAAUAACGCAUUAUUAGAUAUAACUCAAAAAGUAGUUUUUAGAUCACAAAUAAAUUUAAAUGGGACCAAAUGACACACCACCUUUCGAUAAAAAAAAUUGUCGAAAUCGGUCCACUCGGUCAAAAGUUCUGAUGUUACAUCCAUAUACAGUUGAAUUGAGAACC
Molecule: unclassified non-coding RNA, 1166 nt
Filed under: Melitaea cinxia (Glanville fritillary)
Lineage: Eukaryota; Metazoa; Arthropoda; Insecta; Lepidoptera; Nymphalidae
Description: misc RNA ENSMCXG00005016674.1
Source: RNAcentral